Long non-coding RNA from Neoarius graeffei (lesser salmon catfish), 629 nucleotides. RefSeq lists it as uncharacterized. The transcript has 3 exons. Lineage: Eukaryota; Metazoa; Chordata; Actinopteri; Siluriformes; Ariidae. The record is from RefSeq and is a predicted model, not a curated record.
UGUUCACUACAAUAAUAAAUCCGUUUUAUUGCGCUUUCUUAAAAGUGCGUUGCACAGCAAUAAGUAGCCUAACUUAAUAUUUUUGGGAAAUGGGUAAAAUAACCGACAGUGUUUACCUUCUUGUAAAACUCGGAUGGCCUUGUGAUAUGUAGAGGCUACAUUCCUCUCCGUUUACUUUUUAGUAUAGACCUACUGUAGGCUAUCAUCAUGAAAAGGAGCAAGAAGGACAUUAUGUCCUUUUUUGCCCCUAUUAGCAAAAAGCAACAUAGAGAGAGUAAGGAAGAUGAAGAUUAAGAAAGAGGAGAGAGAGCCAGAGGUGGAGAGAGAGCCAGAGGUGGUGGUUGGAGAGGUGGAAAGUGAGGCAUCUGAAAGGCAAUCUGAGAGUGAGGAUGAAGACAUUCAGGAUCAGAUUGAGGGACAGAAUGAGGGACAACCCAACGAGUCAUUGGGACAACCAGAUUCACCAUGCAUAUCAAGUACAGCACCAUCAGAUAUCAGCAAGUGCUUGGACGACACUCCAGUGCAGCCACAUCUGAAGAAAAGGUUCAUUGUAUGCAAAAAUAGAAAUCUUAUUUUACAAAAAAGAGAAACAUGGUUUUAAGAUUUAUUGAGCACAAUUUAUUUUAUGU